Eleginops maclovinus (Patagonian blennie) is the source of this 1589-nucleotide long non-coding RNA. RefSeq lists it as uncharacterized. The transcript has 3 exons. Lineage: Eukaryota; Metazoa; Chordata; Actinopteri; Perciformes; Eleginopidae. The record is from RefSeq and is a predicted model, not a curated record.
GUAACACAUGCGACCCAGCUGGAGGGGCACCUGCAACAAUUAAAACAAGGACUGUUAAUUAACUUAAUUCUGUAUUUAACUCAUUGAUAAAGUUAUGAUAACUUAAAUGCUUGCAAAUGAGCAGUAGACUGUGCAACGUGCAUGUGUGAAACGACUUUGUUAGCUAGCAGUCCACAUUGUUAGCUAUUUUGAGUUGCAUAAGCGUCCAAGAAAAGCAAAUGUUUUGUACAACAUGAGCAUGAAUAUGAUUUACCUUCUUGUUCAUAAGGGUGCGGAGGAGAAUAGCCGCCAUUAUGGAGUGUUUUUGGUCUCUUUUUCUUCUCCGAAGCCCUUCAAACGACCCAAAAGACACAGGAGUGCAAAGACAACUUUAGCUAGCCGGAUUGUUGCAGAGGACAGGGUGGCGGAAUACAAUGCUGCGUUUCAUACGAUCUACAUAACACUACCAGGGCUGAAGCACUUGACUAGCACCAGUGCACAUGUUGUGUUGAUCUGUGGAACCGACGCGUAGCAGUCAUUCGUUGUUGCCGUUCGGUGUGGGCGGGACAUACUUGAUUUAAAAACCAAUCAGUGCGUGCAAUUCACCAACCGCCCUACAUUACAAAAAGCUGAUUGGCUGUUUCCAUAAACACGGUUUGGAGUCGUCUCUGAUACUUAAAGAUCACUUUAAGCAUUUAAAAACAUUAUUCUGAAACUCUGGGGUCAGACAUCUGACCUAGUUUUCUUACUUUUAAAAAAAAAUUAUAUAUUUUUGACUACACAAAAUUCGCUAUAAUGUGUGAAAGAAACACUUAAUAACACCUAGUGGCAGGUAACAGUUUCCAUGGUAACAUGCUUACAGGCAACAUGGAGUUACUUCAGUGGAGUUGUCAAGAUGUUGCAAGAUGGAUUGAGUCUUUAGGAUUCCCACAAUACAAAGCAUGUUUCACAGAGAACCUCAUCACUGGAAGAAAGCUCAUUUAUGUAAAUUGCAUCUACUUGCCACGACUUGGCAUUACAGAUUUUAAAGACAUGAAGAUCAUCUGUGCUGGUGUUCGCGAGCUGCUGGGGAUCACAGAAACCCCAUGGAGUCGCAGCGUCGCUGACCCUCAAAGGGACAACAUGGGCUUGUUCUUGGAAAAAAAGAGCAGGACAGGUGAACGGGCGGACAAUCUCACAUACCAGCAGUUCCUGGAUGACAUGCGUCAGUGAGAGAGAAAGACAUGAAUCACAUUUCAGUAAAGGAGUACAGAAAAAACCAAGACAUGUCAGUGUCACUUCAUUCCACCAACUGUCAGCUCCUGAUGACUCCGAUUGAGACACUCGCAGGCCUUGACAUUAACACUUCCCACCAGCAAAAAUGCUUGUAUGCUGUUGCGGCUGGUGAAGAAACUGUUAUUGUGCUAGUAUUAUGUUUAUGUGGAAAAAUGAGUGAAAUGCUUUUUUUCCGAGAUGAAAUAUUAGUGACAUUAAACGAUAAACUGUUUAAAUCAAAAAGUUAAAACAAUGAUGAUAGAAAAGACUUUUGCCAAAUAUAUAUAUUUUUUUACUGUUUUAUCAAGUGAUUUGUCAUGGGAAAAAACAAUCAUUAAAUGUUUUUAACCUCCGAA